Molecule: non-coding RNA, 71 nt
Organism: Ictidomys tridecemlineatus (thirteen-lined ground squirrel)
Lineage: Eukaryota; Metazoa; Chordata; Mammalia; Rodentia; Sciuridae
Source: Rfam
GGGAAUAUAGCCCAGUUGGUAGAGUGCUUGCCUUGCAUGCACAAGGCCCUAGGUUCAAUUCCAAGUACCCG